GACGAACGCUGGCGGCGUGCUUAACACAUGCAAGUCGAACGGAAAGGCCUUUUCGGAGGUACUCGAGUGGCGAACGGGUGAGUAACACGUGGGUGAUCUGCCCUGCACUCUGGGAUAAGCCUGGGAAACUGGGUCUAAUACCGGAUAGGACCGCACUUUAGUGUGUGUGGUGGAAAGUUUUUUCGGUGUAGGAUGAGCCCGCGGCCUAUCAGCUUGUUGGUGGGGUAAUGGCCUACCAAGGCGGCGGCGGGUAGCCGGACUGAGAGGUUGGUCGGCCACAGUGGGACUGAGAUACGGCCCAGACGCCUACGGGAGGCAGCAGUGGGGAAUAUUGCACAAUGGGCGCAAGCCUGAUGCAGCGACGCCGCGUGGGGGAGGACGGCCUUCGGGUUGUAAACUCCUUUCGCCAGGGACGAAGCGUUUUGUGACGGUACCUGGAGAAGAAGCACCGGCUAACUACGUG
RNAcentral lists this ribosomal RNA (463 nucleotides) under uncultured bacterium. RNAcentral describes it as "partial 16S ribosomal RNA". It matches the Rfam family "Bacterial small subunit ribosomal RNA", at positions 28 to 507 of the family's 1533-position model. The record is from RNAcentral.